AUGGGAACGCGAAGAACCUUACCUACUCUUGACAUCCAGAGAACUUAGCAGAGAUGCUUUGGUGCCUUCGGGAACUCUGAGACAGGUGCUGCAUGGCUGUCGUCAGCUCGUGUUGUGAAAUGUUGGGUUAAGUCCCGCAACGAGCGCAACCCUUAUCCUUUGUUGCCAGCGGUCCGGCCGGGAACUCAAAGGAGACUGCCAGUGAUAAACUGGAGGAAGGUGGGGAUGACGUCAAGUCAUCAUGGCCCUUACGAGUAGGGCUACACACGUGCUACAAUGGCGCAUACAAAGAGAAGCGACCUCGCGAGAGCAAGCGGACCUCAUAAAGUGCGUCGUAGUCCGGAUUGGAGUCUGCAACUCGACUCCAUGAAGUCGGAAUCGCUAGUAAUCGUAGAUCAGAAUGCUACGGUGAAUACGUUCCCGGGUCUUGUACACACCGA
RNAcentral lists this ribosomal RNA (440 nucleotides) under uncultured bacterium. Its description in RNAcentral is "bacterial SSU rRNA". It matches the Rfam family "Bacterial small subunit ribosomal RNA", at positions 954 to 1393 of the family's 1533-position model. The record is from RNAcentral.